Molecule: ribosomal RNA, 484 nt
Filed under: uncultured bacterium
Lineage: Bacteria
Description: partial 16S ribosomal RNA
Rfam family: Bacterial small subunit ribosomal RNA
Source: RNAcentral
GAUUAACGCUAGCGGCAGGCAUAAUACAUGCAAGUUGAACGGCAGCACAGGUAGCACUACUGGGUGGCGAGUGGCGCACGGGUGCGUAACACGUAUGCAACCUACCCUAUACAGGCGAAUAACCUUUAGAAAUGAGGGCUAAUACGCCGUAGUAUUACAGAUGGGCAUCUAUUUGUAAUUAAAGAUUUAUCGGUAUAGGAUGGGCAUGCGGCCCAUUAGUUAGUUGGUAAGGUAACGGCUUACCAAGACGAUGAUGGGUAGGGGAUCUGAGAGGACUUACCCCCACACUGGUACUGAGACACGGACCAGACUCCUACGGGAGGCAGCAGUAAGGAAUAUUGGGCAAUGGCCGCGAGGCUGACCCAGCCAUGCCGCGUGCAGGAAGACGGCCUUAUGGGUUGUAAACUGCUUUUAUACGGGAAUAAUAGAGUGUACGCGUACAUUUAUGCAAGUAUCGUAUGAAUAAGCAUCGGCUAACUCCGUG